This 442-nucleotide long non-coding RNA is filed under the name Manacus vitellinus (golden-collared manakin). RNAcentral's name for it is "lncRNA (ENSMVIG00005003594.1)". Lineage: Eukaryota; Metazoa; Chordata; Aves; Passeriformes; Pipridae. The record is from RNAcentral.
UAGGGCCUAGCACUGCAUUUUUGGUUUUGGGGGGAGAGGCAUGAGGAUGGGGGUUAACCCUGUGCAUUUCCCCCCUAGGACUGAUGACUGAAAUAAUUAAAAGAAGCAUGUUGUGGUGCUCACAGCCUCCUACCUGCUGGUCUGCAAAUGGGACCUCACCACACUGAGCUCCUUCCCGGCGCAGCAAAUCUCACUGACCACCAUUGACUGUGUUGGCCACUUCACCAUUCCAGAGGAAUCCAGAGAAGAGGGCUGUGGAAGUGGAGCGGAACAGCCAGCUUCAGAGAACUGAGCUGACAGGACCAAGUCUGGCAUUUUGGCUGCUGCAGGUGGGCCAAGCAAUCACCAGGAAUUGCCAUCCAUCCUCUGAAGAUAACAUGACCCAUGCUGGGGACAUUUGAGCCAAAGAGAUGGGGAAAUGCCAAAGAUCCCUGGCUUGUCA